This 439-nucleotide ribosomal RNA is filed under the name uncultured bacterium. Its description in RNAcentral is "partial 16S ribosomal RNA". It matches the Rfam family "Bacterial small subunit ribosomal RNA", at positions 339 to 795 of the family's 1533-position model. The record is from RNAcentral.
CUACGGGGGGCAGCAGUGAGGAAUAUUGCACAAUGGGGGGAACCCUGAUGCAGCAACGCCGCGUGGAGGAUGACGCAUUUCGGUGUGUAAACUCCUUUUAUAUGUCAAGAAAAUGACGGUAGCAUAUGAAUAAGCACCGGCUAACUCCGUGCCAGCAGCCGCGGUAAUACGGAGGGUGCAAGCGUUACUCGGAAUCACUGGGCGGAAAGGACGCGUAGGCGGGUUGGAAAGUCAGGUGUGAAAUCCUACAGCUUAACUGUAGAACUGCACUUGAAACUUCUAAUCUAGAGUAUGGGAGGGGGAGAUGGAAUUAGUGGUGUAGGGGUAAAAGCCGUAGAUAUCACUAGGAAUACCUAAAGCGAAGGCGAUCUCCUGGAACAUUACUGACGCCAAGGCGUGAAAGCGUGGGGAGCAAACAGGAUUAGAUACCCGAGUAGUC